GGACUACCGGGGUUUCUAAUCCGUUUUGCUCCCCACGCUUUCGUGCCUCAAUGUCAGUAACAGAAUAGUUAACUGCCUUCGCCGUUAUUGGUGUUCUUCCAUAUAUCUACACAUUUUACCGCUCCACAUGGAGUUCCGUUAACCUCUCCUGUACUCAAGCCAGACAGUAUUAUCAGUUUCCACGAGGUUGAGCCUCGGUUUCCCACUGUUAACUUGCCAAGCCAUCUGCGCACCCUUUACGCCCAAUGAUUCCGGAUAACGUUCGCCACCUACGUCUUACCGCGGCUGCUGGCAC
RNAcentral lists this ribosomal RNA (295 nucleotides) under uncultured bacterium. RNAcentral's name for it is "partial 16S ribosomal RNA". The record is from RNAcentral.